GGCUCCAUAGUGUAGUGGUUAGCACAUCUGCUUUACACGCAGAAGGUCCUGAGUUUGCGCCCCAGAUAGAGCUA
Non-coding RNA from Pteropus alecto (black flying fox), 74 nucleotides. The record is from Rfam. Lineage: Eukaryota; Metazoa; Chordata; Mammalia; Chiroptera; Pteropodidae.